CUCUCUCUCUCUCUCUCUCUCUCUCUCUUACUCGUUUACUCGGGCUCAGUUCGCAUGUGACGUUCGGACGAGUCGGUCACGCGCCGCUGUGUCUCUGCAAGAAAGUGACAGAAAAAACUAGACAAUAAAAGACCAAAGAGAAGUAAGUAAACAUCUUCUAGUAUGAACAGACGAAAGAAGGAGAGGAAAGUGAAAAGAACAGAAAACGGGAAAAAGAAAAUAAAGUGUGGGAAAUGGAGAUAAAAUGAGACUAAGAGAAGACUAAGGAAAAGAGUGAAAUUACUAUGAAGGAAACUAUGAUGAAAAUAAAACUAUGAAAGCAAUGCCCUGAAACUGAAAAUAAAGAAAAGAAAACGAAUAACUCACUAAAGAAAAGGAGAUAGAAGAUAAACAUGUGGUAAAAAAGAAGAAGAAAAGAGAAGAAAAGUUAAUAAUAUGAAGAAAAAAACAUCCAUUAAUUGAACAAAGAAGGGACUAUAUAGCAGAGUCAGGAACAACUGAAAAAAAAAACUAAAAAAUUGAGGAAAAACGAAAAAGGAGUAGGAGAAAAAAAGGAAAAUAUAGAGACCACUUUCGUGUUCUAAUGACCUUCAUCCUACCUUCACGGGAACACCUGAAGCGACAUCAAUCACGCCGAAACACAGGUGUGUAAGAACGUGACCUCAGUAAUCAGGCGUCAUCAGCUCACCUGCCCAAUCAGCUUACCUGCCAAGAAAGAAGAGAAAAUAAGACAAAUAUGAAAACUGAAAAGAAAAAGAUAUGAAAAACAAUUACUAUACUUCGUGGAGAUGAAUAAUUCUGAGUCUGUUUAUUAUUUGUUGAAGCAGAAAAUAAGGAAAAAAAAGUGAAAAAAAAAGUGAGAUAAAAAAGUAGACAACGAAGAAGAGGAAACAGACAAACAGACAAACAUAUAUGAGUCUAUUAUUUAUUCACAGAAAAAAAAACACUAAAGAAUAUCAGUGAAAAAGUGAGAUAUAGAAAAAUGAGCUGGAAAAAGAAGAACAGGGAAGAGACAAACAGAGAAACAGCAAAAUCUACCACUUGUCCACAGCAGAAAAGAAAGGAAAUAAGAAAAGUAAACCAGUGAAAAAAUUCGAUGAGAAAAGAACUAAAGAAAGAACAGGGAAGAGACAAACAGAGAAACAGCAAAAUCUAUCACUUGUCAACAGCAGAAAAGAAAGAAAACAAGAAAAAUAAACGGGGAAAAAGUGAAAUACAAAGCAGACAGAGAAGAAAGUGAAGUAAAAAUAGACAAGAAGAAAGUGAAACAAAAAAUAGGCAAAGAGGAACAGGAAACAAACACACAGACGAACAGAAAGCCCACAGGGGAAAGACACAACACCACAACGAAGUAAUACAAAAAAGAGAAGAAUUACAUAGAAGUGAAUAAACAAACAGUGAAUAAGGUGGAAAUAAGAGACCUAGCCCACAGAGGGAAGGACAUGGACGAACAGGGACACAGAAACCGAAAGAAAAAUAAAUAUACAGAUCAAAGAAACGAGAGUAAAUAAAGAAAAACAACUGUGGUAAAAGUGGAGGGGAAGGAACGACCCAAAGGAGCAGAUGGAAGAAAGAAAGAGGAAGAGAAAGAGGGAAGAAUAGAUUGAAACGCAGAGAGAAUAUAUAAAAAAGAGGAACAACGAAGAGGAGACGGAAGUUGAGUUGACAAAUAAAUGGAGAAAAUAGCGAAGUUGUUGUUCUGAGUAGCUUUAAGAAGAUGAAAAAGGGAGAGGGAAAGGGAAUAUGGGUUAGAAAAUAGAAAUAAAAACUAAUCUGUAAUAAAAAAAAAGCAGAAUUAAGUAGAUAAAGUGAAGGUUGAAAAUGCGUUGUAGAUUCAGAAUAGCAGCUUUAGGAAGAGGAUAAAAGGGAGAGGGAAAGAUGAUACGGAAGUUAGAAAAAACUGUAAAAAAGAAAAAGAAGCAGAAUUAAAUAGAUAAAUAAAUGGAAAAAGAAGUGAAGGCUGAAAAUACGUUCUUGAAGUUUCAGAAUAGAAGCUUUAGGAAGAGGAUAAAAGGGAGAGGGAAAGAGAAUACGGAAGUUAGAAAAUCAAAAGAAAUCUGCAAACAGGAAGCAGAAUGAUAAAAAAAAAGAUAAAUAAGUGCAAAA
Molecule: long non-coding RNA, 2106 nt
Organism: Eriocheir sinensis (Chinese mitten crab)
Lineage: Eukaryota; Metazoa; Arthropoda; Malacostraca; Decapoda; Varunidae
Exons: 3
Source: RefSeq, a predicted model, not a curated record